UCCAGACUCCUACGGGAGGCAGCAGUGGGGAAUAUUGCACAAUGGGGGGAACCCUGAUGCAGCGACGCCGCGUGGGUGAAGGAGCACCUCGGUGCGUAAAGCCCUAUCGGCAGGGAAGAAACAGACGGUACCUGACUAAGAAGCCCCGGCUAACUACGUGCCAGCAGCCGCGGUAAUACGUAGGGGGCAAGCGUUAUCCGGAUUCACUGGGUGUAAAGGGAGCGUAGACGGCGACGCAAGUCUGGAGUGAAAGCCCGGGGCCCAACCCCGGGACUGCUCUUGGAACUGCAUGGCUGGAGUACAGGAGGGGCAGGCGGAAUUCCUAGUGUAGCGGUGA
RNAcentral lists this ribosomal RNA (337 nucleotides) under uncultured bacterium. RNAcentral's name for it is "partial 16S ribosomal RNA". It matches the Rfam family "Bacterial small subunit ribosomal RNA", at positions 330 to 684 of the family's 1533-position model. The record is from RNAcentral.